This 375-nucleotide unclassified non-coding RNA is filed under the name uncultured Chytridiomycota. Its description in RNAcentral is "sequence contains ITS1". The stretch from base 1 to 93 matches the Rfam family "5.8S ribosomal RNA", at positions 50 to 154 of the family's 154-position model. Lineage: Eukaryota; Fungi; Chytridiomycota. The record is from RNAcentral.
GAAAUGCGAUACGUAAUGUGAAUUGCUUUCCGUGAAUCAUCGAAUCUUUGAACGCACAUUGCACUCCUCUGGAGUAUGCCUGUUUGAGAAUCUAUAGUAUUAAUUUCUUGUGAUUUCAUUCGUGAAUGACCAAGGAGAUAUGAAGUUCCCAUCUCUUGGUGGGUUCUUUUAAAUAGAUUGCUACUAGUAAUAUGAAAAUGCUUGACAUUUCUCUAUAUCUAUUAGAAAAGUAUGUGUAUGAAACUGUGGUUUCUCAUAAUGCCUAUUAUUUUAGAGGAGAUUUGGAGUUUUUAUAUGAACAGUUAGUCCAUACCUAUAAAGGCGCAAGCCUUGAACCAUGGUCUCAAAUCAGGUAGGAAGACCCGCUGAACUUAA